GACGAACGCUGGCGGCGUGCUUAACACAUGCCAGUCGAACGGAAAGGCCCUGCUUUUGUGGGGUGCUCGAGUGGCGAACGGGUGAGUAACACGUGAGUAACCUGCCCUUGACUUUGGGAUAACUUCAGGAAACUGGGGCUAAUACCGGAUAGGAGCUCCUGCUGCAUGGUGGGGGUUGGAAAGUUUCGGCGGUUGGGGAUGGACUCGCGGCUUAUCAGCUUGUUGGUGGGGUAGUGGCUUACCAAGGCUUUGACGGGUAGCCGGCCUGGGAGGGUGACCGGCCACAUUGGGACUGAGAUACGGCCCAGACUCCUACGGGAGGCAGCAGUGGGGAAUAUUGCACAAUGGGCGGAAGCCUGAUGCAGCAACGCCGCGUGCGGGAUGAAGGCCUUCGGGUUGUAAACCGCUUUCGCCUGUGACGAAGCGUGAGUGACGGUAAUGGGUAAAGAAGCACCGGCUAACUACGUG
Molecule: ribosomal RNA, 468 nt
Filed under: uncultured bacterium
Lineage: Bacteria
Description: partial 16S ribosomal RNA
Rfam family: Bacterial small subunit ribosomal RNA
Source: RNAcentral